GACGAACGCUGGCGGCGUGCUUAACACAUGCAAGUCGAGCGAUGAAGUUCCUUCGGGAAUGGAUUAGCGGCGGACGGGUGAGUAACGCGUGGGUAACCUGCCUCAUAGAGGGGAAUAGCCUUUCGAAAGGAAGAUUAAUACCGCAUAAGAUUGUAGUAUCGCAUGAUACAGCAAUUAAAGGAGUAAUCCGCUAUGAGAUGGACCCGCGUCGCAUUAGCUAGUUGGUGAGGUAACGGCUCACCAAGGCGACGAUGCGUAGCCGACCUGAGAGGGUGAUCGGCCACAUUGGGACUGAGACACGGCCCAGACUCCUACGGGAGGCAGCAGUGGGGAAUAUUGCACAAUGGGGGAAACCCUGAUGCAGCAUCGCCGCGUGAGUGAUGACGGUCUUCGGAUUGUAAAACUCUGUCUUCAGGGACGAUAAUGACGGUACCUGAGGAGGAAGCCACGGCUAACUACGUGCCAGCAGCCGCCGUAA
RNAcentral lists this ribosomal RNA (478 nucleotides) under uncultured bacterium. RNAcentral's name for it is "partial 16S ribosomal RNA". It matches the Rfam family "Bacterial small subunit ribosomal RNA", at positions 28 to 523 of the family's 1533-position model. The record is from RNAcentral.